Molecule: transfer RNA, 1446 nt
Filed under: Rosa chinensis
Lineage: Eukaryota; Viridiplantae; Streptophyta; Magnoliopsida; Rosales; Rosaceae
Description: sRNA RchiOBHm_Chr5g0037781
Rfam family: tRNA (bases 911-982)
Source: RNAcentral
UGGGGAUGUAGCUUAAUUGGUAGAGCAAUUACAAAGCGUGUAUUAGAUCUUGGUUCGACUCCUUGCGUCUCCAUCAGAUUUAUUUUUUUUUAAUUUUUUUAUUUAACAAGUGAUGACAAUAAAAUUUAAAUAUAAAUGGGAGUACGUUGAAAUAUCAACUUGGGGAUGUAGCUCAAUUGGUAGAGCGAUUACAAAGCGUGUUUUAGAUCUUGGUUCAACUCCUUGCGUCUCCAUGAGAUUAAUUUUUUUUUAUUUAACAAGUGAUGACAAUAAAAUUUAAAUACAGAUGGAAGUACAUUGAAAUAUCAACUUGGGGAUGUAGCUCAAUUGGUAGAGCGAUUACAAAGCGUGUAUUAGAUCUUGGUUUGACUCCUUGCAUCUCCAUCAGAUUUUUUUAUUUAACAAGUGAUGACAAUAAAGUUUAAAUACAAAUGGGAGUACAUUGAAAUAUCAACUUGGGGAUGUAGCUCAAUUGGUAGAGCGAUUACAAAGCGUGUAUUAGAUCUUGGUUCGACUCCUUGCGUCUCCAUCAGAUUUAUUUUCUUUUAUUUUUUUAUUUAACAAGUGAUGACAAUAAAAUUUAAAUACAAAUGGGAGUACAUUGAAUUAUCAACUUGGGGAUGUAGCUCAAUUGGUAGAGCGAUUACAAAGCAUGUAUUAGAUCUUGGUUCGACUCCUUGCGUCUCCAUCAGAUUUAUUUUUUUAUUUAACAAGUGAUGACAUAAAUUUAAAUACAAAUGGGAGUACAUUGAAAUAUCAACUUGGGGAUGUAGCUCAAUUGGUAGAGCGAUUACAAAGCAUGUAUUAGAUCUUGGUUCGACUCCUUGCGUCUCCAUCAGAUUUAUUUUUUUAUUUAACAAGUGAUGACAUAAAUUUAAAUACAAAUGGGAGUAUAUUGAAUUAUCAACUUGGGGAUGUAGCUCAAUUGGUAGAGCGAUUACAAAGCGUGUAUUAGAUCUUGGUUCGACUCCUUGCAUCUCCAUCAGAUUUAUUUAUUUUUAUUUUUUAAUUUAACAAGUGAUGACAUAAAUUUAAAUACAAAUGGGAGUACAUUGAAUUAUCAACUUGGGGAUGUAGCUCAAUUGGUAGAGCGAUUACAAAGCAUGUAUUAGAUCUUGGUUCGACUCCUUGCGUCUCCAUCAGAUUUAUUUUUUUAUUUAACAAGUGAUGACAUAAAUUUAAAUACAAAUGGGAGUAUAUUGAAUUAUCAACUUGGGGAUGUAGCUCAAUUGGUAGAGCGAUUACAAAGCGUGUAUUAGAUCUUGGUUCGACUCCUUGCAUCUCCAUUAGAUUUAUUUAUUUUUAUUUUUUAAUUUAACAAGUGAUGACAAUAAAAUUUAAAUACAAAUGGGAGUACAUUGAAUUAUCAACUUGGGGAUGUAGCUCAAUUGGUAGAGCGAUUACAAAGCAUGUAUUAGAUCUUGGUUCGACUCCUUGCGUCUCCAU